This 4096-nucleotide unclassified non-coding RNA is filed under the name Portunus trituberculatus (swimming crab). RNAcentral describes it as "membrane-bound transcription factor site-1 protease- like, transcript variant X2". The record is from RNAcentral. Lineage: Eukaryota; Metazoa; Arthropoda; Malacostraca; Decapoda; Portunidae.
CAGUCAGUGUUGCAAGAGUCUUGAGUCUGUAUCCACUGUGAUGAAAACAUUGGACGUCUGUGUGAGGAGAUCAGCUCGCAACACACGGAGCAUCCUUAGCCACCAAUCCUAGUUGCUGCCUCCCCCUAGUCUCACCCAAUGAAGUGCCAACCAUCAGAUCACUUGAAAAGUUAGACUGCAAAUAUAAGACAAUGAAGCCAAAUUUUCGAUGGAAGAAAACAAACUCUAGUGGAAAAAGAGCACCGUUUUCAAAUGCAGAGGCAGUUUUCCACAAUGAAAGAAUUCUUCCAUAUGAUAGAAAAGAGAUCAUCAAAGAAGAUGGAGUUAGUGGUGGUGAUUUUCCCUAUCAUUUACAUAUGCAAGUGAUCAAAAACCCUGAAGUGGAGGGAAGAAAGCCUAAGUGUUUUUGUAGUUCAGAAGUGAUAAAAACCAGAACUAGACAAGCAAGCAGUGGGUAUAAUCUGAAAAAUAUAUUCUACUGGAGGCCAGAUUGGAGAGGGAGUUUCGUAUUUGUGUUGAUUGUGGUGUGUUUAUUGAGCAGAACAACACAAGGAGCACUGAACAGUGACAGUGAUGCCACAUACGAUGAUGAUAAUGUAAUGUUUAGUGCUAGAAGACUGAGUAGCUUGACAACACCAGAUCCUGUAAAUAUUUUACAUGAAGAGCACAGUGAUCUCAUUGGUGAUGGAUCAAAAUCUACAAAGACACCGUGUGGAAAAGAGAAAGGAGUGCAUGUGAAGAUCCAGUAUUCUUCCAGUAUUGUGGAAAAUGAAUACAUAGUGGCCUUCAAGGGAUACUACAGACAAGAGGCUCGUGAACGUUUCAUAAAGGCAGCCUUAAAUGAGUCCAAUGUGGUGCGGUGGGAGGUGGUGCCCCGCAACAAUCCUGCCAGUGACUACCCAAGUGACUUUGACGUGGUUCAGAUUCAAGAACAUCACAAGAACGUGGGUCUAGAUGCACUGAAGGACCAUCCUGCAGUGAAAAGAGUAACUGCUCAGCGCAUGGUGAUUCGCCAUCUACACUUCGUCAAUGACACUGAAGAUGCAGAUUUGGACCAGUGGAAAGAGAAUGUAUUUGCUAAUGUUUCUGAUACUGAAGGUUAUCCUGGUAUGGUCUUCAAUGUAACUGAUUCUGACAGAACUACUUUAGGUGAUGAGUCUUCCUUAAACUCUGAGGAAGAGUUAACUGACACACAGGAAAUACACGAUGAUGACAUGGAGUAUGACCAAAUGUAUGUUGAGACUGGUGCAGACAAAACAGACACCAAAGGCAUAGGUGAUGGUGAGCCUUGCAGUGGAGAUAAAUGCAAGGAAGGGGAGACAGAGGAUGGCACCUGGCCAGCCUCUAGACCACUGCGGCGAUCUUCACUAACAUUAGGCACAGCAUUUUGGCAGACCACAGGCAGACACUCCAGCCGCCGUCUUCUACGUGCUAUCCCCAGGCAGAUAACAACCACCCUGCAGGCAGAUGUACUGUGGAGCAUGGGCAUUACAGGUACUGGAGUUAAAGUGGCUGUGUUUGACACAGGCCUCUCGAAAUCCCAUCCCCAUUUCAAACGCAUCAAGGAACGAACAAACUGGACAAAUGAAAAAACUCUUGAUGAUGGCCUAGGGCAUGGCACCUUUGUAGCAGGAGUAAUAGCAUCCAGUGGAAAGACUUGCUUAGGGUUUGCUCCUGAUGCUGAGCUGCAUAUUUAUAGAGUAUUCACAAAUAACCAGGUGUCCUACACAUCCUGGUUCCUUGAUGCUUUCAACUAUGCAAUUCUAAAGAAGGUGGAUGUGUUGAACCUAAGUAUUGGAGGACCCGAUUUCAUGGAUCAUCCCUUUGUUGACAAAGUAUGGGAACUGACAGCAAACAGAGUCAUCAUGGUGUCUGCCAUUGGCAAUGAUGGGCCACUCUAUGGAACUUUGAACAAUCCAGCAGACCAGAUGGAUGUUAUUGGUGUGGGCGGCAUAAAUUUUGAAGAUCAAAUUGCCCGCUUUUCCUCCCGAGGGAUGACUACAUGGGAAUUGCCUCAGGGAUAUGGCCGUGUCAAACCUGACAUUGUGACAUAUGGGUCCCUGGUGCAGGGAUCAAGCAUGGAGGGCAAGUGUCGACAACUCUCAGGCACUUCAGUUGCCUCUCCAGUUGUUGCUGGAGCCGUUACUCUUUUGGCCAGUGGUGUUCUUCACCGAGGAGGCAUCAUCAACCCAGCCAGCAUGAAGCAGGCUUUGAUGGCUUCAGCUCGAAGACUUCCAGGAGUAAAUAUGUUUGAACAAGGUCAUGGCAAGCUGGACUUGGUGAAGGCUUACCAGGUUCUUUCAAAAUAUAAACCUCAAGCUUCCCUGAGUCCAAGUUACAUUGAUCUCACUGAGUGCCAGUACAUGUGGCCAUAUUGUACUCAGCCUCUUUACUAUGGUGCCAUGCCUGUCGUUGUUAAUGUCACAAUCCUCAAUGGUAUGGGUGUGUCUGGACGCAUCGUUGAAAAGCCUGUCUGGCACCCAUACACUCCUCAAUUUGGACAGCAUCUUGAAAUGGCAUUCACUUAUUCAGAGGUCCUAUGGCCAUGGUCAGGCCAUCUUGCUGUAUGGAUCACAGUGGCUGAGAGUGGUAAGGACUGGGAGGGUUAUGCACGAGGACAUAUCUCCAUUACUGUGGAAUCUCCUCCUGAAGAAGGUGAAACCCAACCAAGAAUUUCCCAUGUGAAGCUUCCUGUCAAGGCUAAAAUGAUUCCUACUCCACCGAGACACAAACGUGUGCUGUGGGAUCAGUUCCACAACUUGCGUUACCCUCCAGGCUACUUCCCCAGAGACAACUUGCGCAUGAACAAUGAUCCGCUGGACUGGAAUGCAGACCACAUACAUACAAACUUCAAGGACAUGUACCAACAUUUACGAAAUAGUGGAUACUACAUUGAAGUUCUGGGAUCCCCUUUCACUUGUUUUGAUGCAAGCAAGUAUGGAACUCUGAUGAUUGUUGACCCUGAAGAGGAAUAUUUUCCUGAAGAGGUGACAAAGUUACGGCAAGAUGUUGAAAAAGGCUUGUCCAUCAUUGUGUUUGCUGACUGGUAUAAUGUCAACGUUAUGAAGAAAGUGAAGUUCUAUGAUGAAAAUACAAAGCAACUUUGGAUGCCAGUCACAGGGGGUAGUAACAUCCCAGCCCUUAACUACCUGCUUGGUUUCUGGGGUGUGGCCCUCAGUGAUGGGGUAUAUGAAGGAGACUUCACUCUGGGAGACAGGGACAUGUACUAUGCCACUGGAACUUCAUUGGCACAGUUCCCUCGGGAUGGUAUAGUGGUGCGUAAAACCCUGAAUGAUCAUGCCAAAGAGAUGUUGGAGGCUGAGAAUGAAAGUGUUCAAGAUGUUCCCAUCUUGGGGCUGCUGCAAACAGAAAGUAACAGUGUUGCUGACAACACCGACAAGAGUCAGAAUCUGGGACGCUUGGUGGUGUACGGAGACUCUAACUGCCUGGACAACAGUCACCUCCAGAAGGACUGCUUCUGGAUGCUGGAUGCCCUGCUGGAGUACACUACCACGGGCCACCUGGCCGGUGUCUUCAGUUCCAGUGCCGGAGCUCCAAUUCCACCAACUACAGACUUGCCCACCAAAAUGGAAAACAGUAAUUUACACAAACACUCAAAGGUUGUAGAGCACACCCUGGGGAUGGAGCAGAUGCGGCCACUGCCAGAAUGUCCUGUCUUGAUGCCUGUCACACCACAGCCUCUAAAUGUUUCUAACAAAAACCUGAAUAUCCAUGUGGGCCUAAAGUUGCUCUCCCAGCCUGAAAUUGUUGCAGCAGUCAAGGUAGCUCCUGUUGAUGUUCAGCCUCUGCCUCUGGAUGGCCAUGGAGGCAACCAAGGAGAUAUAGUUGCUGGGUCUUCAAAUACAGAUGGUGAUGAUGGUGCCAUUCAUACCAGUUUGUAGCACGACGCUGGUGGGAUUUUUGUUAUUACUAAGAAACAUGAUGUCUUGAUAAUGAAAGGUAGCAGUCUGAGCACCCUUGCCUAUCCCACUGAAAGGACCCCAGCAUUUGCCAUCCUGUCCAUAGUGAUGGUGGUGCUCAUGGUGUGUUAUUGGUACCGCUCCAGACACAGACCCAAGAGGCGGCGCAGCAAACU